This 449-nucleotide ribosomal RNA is filed under the name uncultured bacterium. RNAcentral's name for it is "bacterial SSU rRNA". It matches the Rfam family "Bacterial small subunit ribosomal RNA", at positions 328 to 793 of the family's 1533-position model. The record is from RNAcentral.
GGGCCAGACUCCUACGGGAGGCAGCAGUGGGGAAUAUUGGACAAUGGGGGGAACCCUGAUCCAGCGACGCCGCGUGAGUGAAGAAGUCUUUCGGUAUGUAAAGCUCUAUCAGCAGGGAAGAAAAUGACGGUACCUGAGUAAGAAGCCCCGGCUAACUACGUGCCAGCAGCCGCGGUAAUACGUAGGGGGCAAGCGUUAUCCGGAUUUACUGGGUGUAAAGGGAGCGUAGACGGCAGUGCAAGUCUGGAGUGAAAGGCGGGGGCUCAACCCCCGGACUGCUCUGGAAACUGUACGGCUGGAGUGCAGGAGAGGUAAGUGGAAUUCCUAGUGUAGCGGUGAAAUGCGUAGAUAUUAGGAGGAACACCAGUGGCGAAGGCGGCCUGCUGGGCUUUUACUGACGCUGAGGCUCGAAAGUGUGGGGAGCAAACAGGAUUAGAUACCCCAGUACG